This 494-nucleotide ribosomal RNA is filed under the name uncultured bacterium. Its description in RNAcentral is "bacterial SSU rRNA". It matches the Rfam family "Bacterial small subunit ribosomal RNA", at positions 791 to 1291 of the family's 1533-position model. The record is from RNAcentral.
UAGUCCACGCCGUAAACGAUGAUUACUCGAUAUUGGGAUUUAUCUCAGUGUCCAAGCGAAAGUGAUAAGUAAUCCACCUGGGGAGUACGAUCGCAAGAUUGAAACUCAAAGGAAUUGACGGGGGCCCGCACAAGCGGUGGAGCAUGUGGUUUAAUUCGAUGAUACGCGAGGAACCUUACCAAGGCUUAAAUGCAGAACGACAGAUGUGGAAACACAUCUUUCUUCGGACGGACUGCAAGGUGCUGCAUGGUUGUCGUCAGCUCGUGCCGUGAGGUGUCGGGUUAAGUCCCGCAACGAGCGCAACCCCUGUUCUCAGUUACCAGCACAUAAUGGUGGGCACUCUGAGGAGACUGCCGGUGAUAAGCCGGAGGAAGGUGGGGACGACGUCAAGUCAUCAUGGCCCUUACGUCUGGGGCUACACACGUGCUACAAUGGCCGGUACAGUGAGCCGCAAUGCCGCGAGGUGGAGGCUAAUCUCAAAAAGCCGGUACUCG